Molecule: long non-coding RNA, 8301 nt
Filed under: Gossypium barbadense (sea-island cotton)
Lineage: Eukaryota; Viridiplantae; Streptophyta; Magnoliopsida; Malvales; Malvaceae
Description: long non-coding RNA (GBAR_LNC020771)
Source: RNAcentral
CAUGCCGAAACGUCACACCUGCUCAGUAGAUAACAGUUACCAAAAAUUCUUUCCUCUAUCUGUUAUCAUUUUCGAUUCACUCCUCAUUUGAAACAUCUUCAAUCCGGGUUCCUUGGCCACUCCUCUUCCAAGGCAGCUUCAUUGCAGAUCGGCGUAUCCCUUACCAGGUACAUCUCUUCCCUUUUUACUAAUGCUUCCUUCGCUAGUUUAUGGGCUUGAAUAUUUUAUGAUCUUUGAAUAAAUCGAAAAAUGAUUUCUUGAAACCGAGAACUACAACUCUGGAUAUCUCUGAUAAUCGCUCCGACAAUCGAUCUAUCCAUAUCUGUCGCUUUACAAUUUUUGAUGAUUGUUUUCGACUCCCCCAUAAGCGUGACUCAUUUUAGACCCAUUAAGAUGCCUAACUUGGCUGUCUGUAAACAUAUAAGUGCCUCUGCUAGAAACAGAGAUGAGACAUUGGCAUGAAGGGUCGUUUUUGAGGCUUUUAUCUCUCCCAUCUGAUCUCGAACGACAAUCCCCGACGCUGAUCUGGAAUUGUUUGCAUCAAAAGCUGCAUCGAAUUGUAUUAUGUCCCUUGUUGUCUCCUCCUUUUGCUUUUGUGUUCUGGUAGUCCCCAACACUCCUUCUAGUUCUGUUAAAUAGCUCUGUAUUUUUUGUACUAGAUCCCUUCCUGAUGCAAGUUUCUUUCAUGCACCAUUUGGUUCCGCGAGCUCCAUAUAACCCACAGAGUACAGCAAAACAUCCGACAAUGUUCCUUAGUACCUUUUCUGAAAACCCAAGCAAGCCAUGUCUUGAUAUUUUGAUCUAGAUGUGAUGUAACCCAAACCAUAUUAAGAUUCUUCCAUACUUCAAUGCUUGUAGGGCAUUGCCGAAAGACAUGGAAGCUGUCCUCUUCCCCAGACCAACAUCGAGGGCAUCUCACAUUUGUGGUUAUUCGCUUGCAUCUGAGAUUGACUAGUGUAUGAAUAUAGUUCCAGAAUAUCCGCCAGAAUAGAAGUAGAAUUUUUUAUGGAAUUUGUAAAUUCCAAAGUUUUCUGUUUAAUUCUUUAGUAUCAGUCUGUAAUAAAUAACUAUUAGGAUCCAGAAAGUUCACUUUUCCAAACGAGCAAGUCUUCGCAGUUUGUUACUGCAAGUGGGAUUUGCAAAAUUCUUUGAGUAAUGUCCGUUUGAAAGGUAUUAGUAAUAACCUCCGUUUUCCAUAUCUUACUUGUACCAUCGAUUAAAUCUGAUGCUAAUUUCAGCUCUCCAUUGUCAUCUCUGUUCUGCUAGAUAACAAGUUCUACCCCUGGAAUCCACUGACCUGUCCAAAUGGAGAUGCCAUUUCCUCUCCCAACUCUCCAACUUAGCCCUUGAAGAAUUAGUCCCUUUGUAAUCCAAAUACUCUUCCAUGUAAGAGAAGGUAAACUCCUCAACUAUGCACUUAGAAAAUUAGACCGUGGAUAAUACUUUGCUUUAAGAACCCUGGCUAAAAGUGAAUUUGGAUAAUUAAAGAGACGCCAACCUUGCUUGGCUAAUGAUGCGAUAUUAAACUGGCUAAGAUUACGAAAACCCAAACCUCCAUUUUCUUUUAAACUGCAAAUAUUUUUCCAAGAGCACCAAUGAAUUCCCUCUUUCCAUGUCCCCUUCUCCACCAAAAUUUCACAACAAUUGCUUCCAUUUCAUCGCAUAAAGAUUUUGGGAGUAAAAAGCAAGUCAUUGAAUAUGUCAGAAUUGCUUGUAAAAUAGUUUUAAUAAAAAUUUCUUUUUCACCCUGCGAUAAAAAUCUAGUACUCCAAUUGUCAAUGCGUUGCUUUAGCCUAUCCUUUAAAGCCUGAAAAGAUUUCUUCUUUUUUAAUCCCACCAUGUUCGGCAAACCUAGGUAUUGUUUUGGCUCAACUGAACUUCGAAUUCCCAACAAAUUGACAACCAGUCUUCUUUCUUCCUCUAUCGUGUUUUUACUGAAAAACAGUUGAUUUAUCAAAAUUCACACAUUGUCCCGAACAUCUUUUAUACUCAUUUAAGAUCUCCUUGAGUACAACAGCCCCUCUGCUUGUUGCUUCCCCAAAUAGAAUGCAGUCGUUUGCAAAUAAUAAAUGUGACACCUGUGGACCUCUUCUACUUACCUUGACACCCUUCAGAAAUCCUUCUUUUGUAGCUAUUCUCAUAAGACUAGAAAGGCCCUCUCCACAUAUUAGGAAAAGAAACGGACUCAAAGGAUCACCCUAUCGAAGUCCCCUGGUUGGACGGAAUGUUACUCCAACAUUUUCAUUUACCACAACCUUAUAUGAAAUAGUAGACAUGCAUUUCAUAAUAGUAUCAAUCCAUAUUUGAGCAAAUCUCAUUCGUAUCAUUAUCUCCCUAACAAAGUUUCAUUCAACCCUGUCAUAAGCCUUACUUAUGUCCAAUUUUACCGUCAUAAAGCCUUUUCCCCCCACUCUUUUCUGUUUUAGAGUAUACAAUAUUUCGUAAGCUAGCAAUACAUUAUCCGAGAUUAAUUUUCCUGGCACAAAAGCACUUUGAGCACUAUCAAUGCAUUUAUCAAUCACUCUUCGAAAUCUGUUCGCUGUAACUUUCGCCAUCAUUUUAUAAAUAACAUUGCAUAAACUAAUAAGCCUAAACUGUGACAUAUUAGAUGGGUUGUUAAUUUUUGGAAUAAGCACAAUAUGAGUUGUGUUAAUUGAACUGACCUCCAUAUCUCCAUUCAAGAAUUGUUGACACAAGGAAACUACUUCCUCUCCAAUAAAAUGCCAACAGCCAACACUUCUGAUAAAAGAUAGCUGGAAAUCCAUCCUCGCCCGGCACCUUUGGGGGUACCAUUUUGAACAAAGCCUCGUGAAUCUCUUCUCCUAUAUAUCGCGCCAUAAGCUCUUUAUUUUCCUCAUCAUAGACACAUCGAUCAAUGCUCGAGAGUAAAUAAUCAAUUUUUUUCUGAUUAUUUGAUGUAAACAAAUUCUGAAAGUAGGACCUUGAUAUUUCUUCCAUUUCUUAAAGAUCUCUCGUUUCCCUUCCAUGUUCACUUUGUAACUUACUAAUCAUGUUUUUCUUCUGCCUCUGGGUUGCCUGACUAUGGAAAAAAGCUUAAUUUUUGUCGCCUAAUUUUAACCAGUUCAGUUGGGCCCUUUGCUCCUAGUAUCUUUCAUCCUUCUCAAUUUCCAAAUUUAGCUAAAUCUUCGUAUCAAUCAUCUCCGCCAUGUUAGUAUCAUCCCUUUCAGCUUCAAGCAACUCUGAUAACUUUGCUGUUAAAGAUUCAUUUCUCCAUUUUUUAUUAAUUUGCAUUUUUCCCGCCCAAUUUUCCAGACCCUUCUUUAAAAAUUCCAUCUUCUACAGAAAAUCACCUGAUGCUAUCUCCCAUAAAAUUUCCAGUUUCAUCAACAAAAGAAUCUUCCAAAAAUUAUCAGGUUUCAAUUUUGAAACAAUUUUCAUUUUACUGUCUUCCUUCCUUUUUUGUAUAAAUUAAAAGAGGACAAUGAUCAGAAAAAGAAUGCACUAGAUGCUGAACUUUUACCUCAGAAAAUAGAUAAAUCCAUUCCUCAUUGGCAACCCUCUAUCUAUACAUACUUGUAUAUUUGUUUCUAGGAGAUUACCUCUCCCACAUGAACCAUCUACCCAAGUACCCCACAUCAUUCAGUUGACAAAACUCUAAAGCUUUCCAAAACAUUCCCAUCCUUAUUUCAUCUUAGGGCAGGCCUCCCUUUUUUUCAAAGCCAUACAUAAUUUCAUUGAAAUCUCCACAUACCAACCAAGGGACAUUCUUUUCAUUAUAAAGAUUUUUCAAGACAGCCCAUGAAUCUUCUCUAUCUUGUGCAUACGAAGUUCCAUAAAAACCUAUAAAUCGCCAAUUACCUUCUCUUUCAUUAUCACUCACUACCACAUCAAUAUGCCUUUAAGAGAUUCUGUAGUGAAAUAUUAACGUCAUUCCACCAAGCCAAACAUAACCCUCCUCUAGUACCUUCCGGAUCCACCUCAAUACCAUUCACAAAACCACAUCUCCGUUGAACUCUUUCCAUUUGAAUUCCACAAAGUUUCGUCUCCAUAAAGAAGACUAUAUGGGGAUCACAAGUCUUCAGCGAAUGCCAAAGUCUUCUAACUAUCCGUGGACUCCGUAAUCCAAGGACAUUUCAGCUUAAUAUUUUCAUUGCACCCGGUCGACUUGCCACUUGGCAGCCACCGAUGAUAAAUGAUUAAGAUCUUCCAAACUCCUAUUUCUUGUUAGGGUAUUAUUCAUCUCCUCAAUCCUUUGUAAAUCAUUAAGCUCCCCUCUAGAUCUUUUCUUACCCUCCUCUCUUACUAGGGCCACAUCCUCCAAAACGUGAUCUAUCGCAUUUAGGGUGUGAUUAGUCAGUGAACUAUCCUGCUUUGUACCAACACUUGAUAAACUGCCUUCCAAAUUAAAACCAAGAUUUGGAUCAACAGGCUUCCCAUAACUUUUCCUGUACUCCAUCCUUCGUUGUUCAUUUGCAAAUCCCCUAUUUACCUCAUGAAUUCCACUCGUAACCCCCUCACUUUCCUCUCGUAACCAGACACUGUUCAUAGUCAAAGCUCUUUGGGAUUGUGCUCUUAUUGAUAAAUCCCACCCCAUUUUAGUAAUUUUCACUCCAAUUGUCAUUUUUGCCUCACAAAAAGAAUCAUUAUGGCCCAACUUUCCAUAAUAGAAACAGAAAAGUGUCAACCUUUCAUAUUUAAAACUAACAUAUGAACGCCUCCCACGGAACUCGAUUUGUUUCUUCCUUUUCAAGGGACGUCUGAUAUCAAUUUGGACCCUGAUUUGCAUAAAAUUCCUAUUUUCUUUCCCUAUAUUUGGCACAUUGUAUUCCAUAAAGUACCCCAAGAAAUUUUCUAAAUUCACUACUAAGUUUUCAGAAAACAAACCAAUAGGCACAUUAUGUAUUUGAACCCAGAAAAGGGUUAACACUAAAGGCACCUACAGCGGAUCCUCCCCCUAAUGUAGUUUAUAAGUAUCAGCAAAUGAUUAUUAAAGGUUCAUGAGGAGCCUUUCAAAACCCUCUUCAUAUCCAUAGAAUGAAAACAUUGAAACAGUAACCUUUUUUCCCUAGAUCUCGGAUUCGAACGCCCCGAACAGUAUGCCACAAAUUCGCCAUAGUGCUUUUUCAUGGCUGGAAAGUGAAUUAUGCUUGCUAUGAGAAAACACCCCACUAAUUGAAAAAACUCUACCCUUCUUCCCGUACUAGGAUCUUCUUGAAUUUGAAUAGCAACAUCUUCCCUUCAUUUAUCAUUAAUUGGGCUUAUUAGUUCUCCAUUAUUUUUCAAGGACACAACGCAGAAAACCUAAAUUCUUGCCAGAGGUAGUAGACACAAGCGCGCUAGGGUAGCAGAUUGUUAAAACCUUAGAUUGUUGAGUUGUUAGUCUCACGGCAUAAAUAACUUGUACAGACUAUUGAUUUGUUUUGUACCAAUACAAUUAUUUUUUUCUUAAAAACACAUUAAAUUAAAUAAAUAUUAGAAUAGUAUAAAUACUUGGAAUUAUUAUAUAAAAAUAUUCAUGUUUAAAAUAGUUUUUAAAAAUUAGCAUGUUUUAAAAUUAAAAUAUUUGGAAUUAUAUAAAAAUAUUUGAAAAUUUGAAGUUAAAAUUUUAUAUUACAAUAUUAAAAAAUGUUGAACUACGCACGUGCCAAUCCAUCCAUAACAUUAAAAUUUAAUUCAAAAUAAUAAUUUAACAAAUUGAUUAGAAAUAAAUUUUAACAAAAAUUUAAAAAUUUAGCUUUUGAAAUCUUAUAUUUAAAUUUAUUUCUCAUUUUAUUAAUAAAAUUUAUAAAAAAAAUUUGUAGUCACAUUUUAAAUUUAAUUAAGAAUCUACUUUCCCUAAUUAAUCAUUAAAAUCAAGUUGGAAACUAUAUAUAAAAUGAGAAUUUCAUAUAACUUAUAAUUAUAAAAUUUAUAUUUUAAAAAUAUUUUCAAUAUAUUGUUAGUCUAAUAUUAAGUAUCAUGUUUUUAAAAUUAAACUUAUAAAUUAUUAUGUUUUAAUUUCAUUAACAGAAAGUUAUAAAAUUUAUAAAAAAAAUUUAAGAAAUAAUUAAAUGUAAUUUAAUCGAUACAUACAAUCAACUCGUGGCACUCCCCAUUUGGAAAUAAAUAAAAUUUACAUGAUUUUUUAUGAAAAAUAGAAAUAAACAAGCAUGUUUGUGUUGCAAUUUCUUUUUGAGAUAAAAAGGUUUCCAUUUAUGCAUAAAACAAACAACAAAGCACCCAUUUGGCGAUGCCCAAGCGGAAUAGAGCAUAUACACGGGCCCAACAAAUGACCCAACGAGAAAGUUCCAAAAUAGAAAAACAAAAGCAAGAUAGUAACCCUACCAGACAGCAACCAAAGGAAGUCAAAAGCCUUCCGCUGUCCAAAUAGAUGAGGAAAAUUUGAGUGACAAUGGAGAUACACAUGAGAAACAGAGGAGAGGAAAGCAAUCAAGCGUUGUUGUGUUAGGAGAGACCAUGAACCAAGCGUCGAGCUACUCCACUAUAGCAACCAUGGCUAAUUCCACCUAGAAAGGUACUUCCUCUAUCCAAAACUGAUCUUCCCACCGAAAACCUAAUGCGGCCAGAAGAUGGGCACUAAAUUUUGUUCCCAAAAACAGUGGCGAACAACAGCUUCAGAGAAAUCUCUAAGUAAACGUCGUCUUCCCUCAUGAAUGAGUGCCCUGAUUUUGGAAUAAUCGUCCUGUGAGGAUGUUAAUCGCCGAAUAACAUGUAGGGAACCCUCAAAAAUAACCCGAGAGAGGUCGAGGUCACAGGAAAAGAUCGCUAUAGUGAGAAAAGUUAGCGUCUCUGCCGCAAAAGGAGAGGAUACAUAUUGAUGUCAACGAGUACAAGCCCCAAAAAACCAAUCCUUGGCAAUCCCGGAUCACCACUCCAGAGUAAGAGGAACUUGUUCUGCCUCGUAAUGUAGUUUAAGUUUUCUUUUAUCAUGGGGGUAGCUACUGGUCGCCAACGCGUAGAUCGAGAACCCUUGGGGACCAACACAUGAACAACAAGUAAUGGCAAAGAAGAGAAAUAUGAGCAGAUGAAAGAAGCUAGCUCUAGUGGAGUGGAUGUCUUCGUGAUAUAAGCAAAUUCCCACCGACUAAAGAGCCCAGAUUAUUGUAAAUGCAAUUUCCAUUUCACCUUCUAUAGAUAAUGUACACAAAUGCCCCAACCAAUUGACAAACCCAAAAUCAAUAUAAGUAUCCGACCAGGAGAUGUCCAAACAGCACCAUCCCAAAGCAACAAAAGGACAGUCUCAUGCAACAUGGACUAUAGUUUCAGGCACAGUAAGACACCGAGGGCAGAACUAGGUAAAAGAAAUUGUAAAAGAAAUACAUUUGUUGUAUAGGUUAGACAAAGUAGGAACAUAAUUCUUCAAAAAUAUUUCAUGUUGUAAUUUGCACCUUGGGAAUGUGUAACGCGUAGGUUUGUGCAAGUGUACACAAUCGUUAUCAAGUAAUAAGUAUCGAGUUAUCGUCUUCACAGGGAUUGUAUUUGUGCUAAGUCACUUAAUUUGUAAAAUUAUAUUAACAACUUGGUAAAUAAAAACACAAUAUAGUUUAGAAGUGGUGAUUAAAAUAUAUUAAACUAAAUGCAAUUAUCCAUAAUGCAAAUUUUCCUAAGUAUGCAAACUAUAUGAAUGAAAUAGAUUUUAGUAAAAUUAAAUACAAUUUGCAACAAUUAUAACAUAAAUAAACUAGGAUAAUUACUUUAAUUAAACUCAAUUUAUUAUCAAUAUGCUUAAUAACAUUCGAAAAAACAUUCCAUGGUAACUCGAUCUUUCAUAGUUUGGAAACCACAUUAGGUCCUUUCGAAAUUCUUUACUUAGUAAAUACGCAUUUUACUAAUCUUUAUUUACUAAGGGUUUCUUAGCAUUCGUGUGAGGUAACAGGGACGUGUCAGGUUUGAAACAAUUUAAUCACAAAUCUAAAAACUAUGCAGAUAACAGAGCUUGGUUGGAGUUGUUAUGCAACAUUUAAUUUAAUCGGGUCAGGAUCUAAAUUAAGCAUGCACAUUUCAAUUGUGUCCAUUAGCCAUCGUCCAGUCAGGAUCGCUCGACUAAUUUAGGUGCAUUUCAAUGUAGACUUGAUUUUAAUUGAAAAUAUGAUCGAUUGAGGCACAAACAUUAUAAGCAUGAAUCAAAUAAAUAUUAUUUAAUCAAAGCAAUCAUCCUAGCUUAAAUAAAAUUAAGCUAAUAUUGUUGUAAACAAGAACAAAAAACACGUAGCAAACAUCUUUAUAUUAAAUUAAAGAAAAAGAAGAUUAAACCCAAUUCAUAGUGGUUAUCACCUAAGACUCUGACUGACGAGGCUCUUUCGUUUCUUUGCUUUGCUCCUUUGCUUAUGGCUUUCUAAG